GACAGAGGAUGCAAGCGUUAUCCGGAAUGAUUGGGCGUAAAGCGUCUGUAGGUGGCUUUUCAGGUCCGCCGUCAAAUCCCAGGGCUCAAUGCUAGACAGGCGGUGGAAACUACCAAGCUGGAGUACGGUAGGGGCAGAGGGAAUUUCCGGUGGAGCGGUGAAAUGCAUUGAGAUCGGAAAGAACACCAACGGCAAAAGCACUCUGCUAGGCUGACACUGACACUGAGAGACGAAAGCUAGGGGAGCAAAUGGG
This 253-nucleotide ribosomal RNA is filed under the name uncultured bacterium. Its description in RNAcentral is "partial 16S ribosomal RNA". It matches the Rfam family "Bacterial small subunit ribosomal RNA", at positions 524 to 776 of the family's 1533-position model. The record is from RNAcentral.